Non-coding RNA from Phrynosoma platyrhinos (Desert horned lizard), 72 nucleotides. Lineage: Eukaryota; Metazoa; Chordata; Lepidosauria; Squamata; Phrynosomatidae. The record is from the annotation of a GenBank genome assembly.
GCCAGCUUGGUGUAGUGGUUUGAGCAUUAGACUAUGACUUUGGGGACCAGGGUUCGAUUUCCUGCUUGGUCA